AGGGAGGCAUGUACGUUGUCCAGCUGACAGACUGGUAUAUAUCUAGUAUAUCACUUCUAGUGCUGGUGGGGACGGAGGUCACUGCCUUGGCUUGGAUAUAUGGUGCCGAUCGUCUCUAUGAUGACAUCGAAGCAAUGAUCGGGUACCGGCCUACUAAAUUAUGGAUGAUAUUGUGGAAGUUCAUCACGCCUGUUUUAUACGCUGCACUGUGGCUGAUCGGCAUCAUAAAUCAUCAGCCAGUCACCUAUGGUUCGACACCCUACCCCACCUGGUCUAUAGGAAUAGGCUGGAUGGUCGCCUUUCUUCCUUUGAUUCCUAUACCAGUAACAAUAUUCCUCAC
This is a long non-coding RNA of Pecten maximus, 340 nucleotides long. RefSeq lists it as uncharacterized. The transcript is spliced from 3 exons. The record is from RefSeq and is a predicted model, not a curated record. NCBI's taxonomy places the organism in Eukaryota, Metazoa, Mollusca, Bivalvia, Pectinida, Pectinidae.